AGUGAACGCUGGCGGUAGGCCUAACACAUGCAAGUCGAACGGCAGCACAGUAAGAGCUUGCUCUUACGGGUGGCGAGUGGCGGACGGGUGAGGAAUACAUCGGAAUCUACUUUUUCGUGGGGGAUAACGUAGGGAAACUUACGCUAAUACCGCAUACGACCUACGGGUGAAAGCAGGGGAUCUUCGCACCUUGCGCGAUUGAAUGAGCCGAUGUCGGAUUAGCUAGUUGGCGGGGUAAAGGCCCACCAAGGCGACGAUCCGUAGCUGGUCUGAGAGGAUGAUCAGCCACACUGGAACUGAGACACGGUCCAGACUCCUACGGGAGGCAGCAGUGGGGAAUAUUGGACAAUGGGCGCAAGCCUGAUACAGCCAUACCGCGUGGGUGAAGAAGGCCUUCGGGUUGUAAAGCCCUUUUGUUGGGAAAGAAAAGCAGCAGGUUAAUACCCCGCUGUUCUGACGGUACCCAAAGAAUAAGCACCGGCUAACUUCGUG
Molecule: ribosomal RNA, 492 nt
Filed under: uncultured bacterium
Lineage: Bacteria
Description: partial 16S ribosomal RNA
Rfam family: Bacterial small subunit ribosomal RNA
Source: RNAcentral